UACGAAGGGGGCUAGCGUUGCUCGGAAUCACUGGGCGUAAAGGGUGCGUAGGCGGGUUUUUAAGUCCGGGGUGAAAUCCUGGAGCUCAACUCCAGAACUGCCUUUGAUACUGAAGAUCUUGAGUUCGGGAGAGGUGAGUGGAACUGCGAGUGUAGAGGUGAAAUUCGUAGAUAUUCGCAAGAACACCAGUGGCGAAGGCGGCUCACUGGCCCGAUACUGACGCUGAGGCACGAAAGCGUGGGGAGCAAACAGG
RNAcentral lists this ribosomal RNA (253 nucleotides) under uncultured bacterium. RNAcentral's name for it is "partial 16S ribosomal RNA". It matches the Rfam family "Bacterial small subunit ribosomal RNA", at positions 524 to 776 of the family's 1533-position model. The record is from RNAcentral.